Molecule: ribosomal RNA, 350 nt
Filed under: uncultured bacterium
Lineage: Bacteria
Description: bacterial SSU rRNA
Rfam family: Bacterial small subunit ribosomal RNA
Source: RNAcentral
UGAGGAAUAUUGGACAAUGGGCGAGAGCCUGAUCCAGCCAUGCCGCGUGUAGGAAGACUGCCCUAUGGGUUGUAAACUACUUUUAUACGGGAAGAAACACUCCUUCGUGCAAGGAGCUUGACGGUACCGUAAGAAUAAGCACCGGCUAACUCCGUGCCAGCAGCCGCGGUAAUACGGAGGGUGCAAGCGUUAUCCGGAAUCAUUGGGUUUAAAGGGUCCGUAGGCGGAUGAUUAAGUCAGAGGUGAAAGUCUGUAGCUCAACUAUAGAAUUGCCUUUGAUACUGGUUGUCUUGAAUUACUGUGAAGUGGUUAGAAUAAGUAGUGUAGCGGUGAAAUGCAUAGAUAUUACU